Molecule: small RNA, 111 nt
Filed under: Amycolatopsis methanolica
Lineage: Bacteria; Bacillati; Actinomycetota; Actinomycetes; Pseudonocardiales; Pseudonocardiaceae
Also listed under: 1 other name
Description: Guanidine-I sequence
Rfam family: Guanidine-I riboswitch aptamer
About the family: This family represents a conserved RNA structure found upstream of the ykkC and yxkD genes in Bacillus subtilis and related genes in other bacteria. The function of this family is unclear although it has been suggested that it may function to switch on efflux pumps and detoxification systems in response to harmful environmental molecules. Nelson showed that this riboswitch senses and responds to guanidine and it was renamed Guanidine-I riboswitch.
Source: RNAcentral
GCGGGGCGCGUCUAGGGUUCCGCCACCGCCGGGGUGGGUCUGGUCCGAGAGACGCAGGCGGUCCGCGCCGGAUGCGGAACCGUUCCACGGCGGGAGAAAAGCCCGGGAGGC